RNAcentral lists this ribosomal RNA (440 nucleotides) under uncultured bacterium. RNAcentral describes it as "partial 16S ribosomal RNA". It matches the Rfam family "Bacterial small subunit ribosomal RNA", at positions 338 to 795 of the family's 1533-position model. The record is from RNAcentral.
CCUACGGUUGGCAGCAGUGGGGAAUAUUGGACAAUGGGGGAAACCCUGAUCCAGCGACGCCGCGUGAGUGAAGAAGUAUUUCGGUACGUAAAGCUCUAUCAGCAGGAAAGAAAAUGACGGUAACUGACUAAGAAGCCCCGGCUAACUACGUGCCAGCAGCCGCGGGAAUACGUAGGGGGCAAGCGUUACCCGGAUUUACUGGGGGCAAAGGGAGCGUAGACGGGAGCGCAAGGCUGGAGGGAAAUGCCGGUGCCCAACCCCGGAACUGCUCUGGAAACUGUUAAGCUGGAGUGCAGGAGACGUAAGCGGAAUUCCAGGUGUAGCGGUGAAAUGCGUAGAUAUCAGGAGGAACACCGGCGGCGAAAGCGGCUUACUGGACUGUAACUGACGUUGAGGCUCGAAGGCGUGGGGAGCAAACAGGAUUAGAUACCCCAGUAGUC